RNAcentral lists this small nuclear RNA (126 nucleotides) under Rhinolophus ferrumequinum (greater horseshoe bat). RNAcentral's name for it is "U4 spliceosomal RNA (ENSRFEG00010007661.1)". It matches the Rfam family "U4 spliceosomal RNA". Rfam says of the family: U4 small nuclear RNA (U4 snRNA) is a component of the major U2-dependent spliceosome. Lineage: Eukaryota; Metazoa; Chordata; Mammalia; Chiroptera; Rhinolophidae. The record is from Rfam by way of RNAcentral.
AGCUUAGCCCAGUGGCAGUAUCAUAGCCAAUGAGGUUUAUCUGAGGCACAAUUAUUGCUAAUUGAAACAAAAAAAAAUCUCAAGGUCUGAAAACAGAUCUUAUGGCACAGCACCCAGAGCCGUCUG